This 73-nucleotide transfer RNA is filed under the name bacterium. RNAcentral describes it as "tRNA-His". It matches the Rfam family "tRNA". From Rfam's summary of the family: Transfer RNA (tRNA) molecules are approximately 80 nucleotides in length. Their secondary structure includes four short double-helical elements and three loops (D, anti-codon, and T loops). The record is from RNAcentral.
GCGACUAUGGUGUAAUGGUAGCACUACUCCUUGUGGAGGAGUCAGUUCGGGUUCGAAUCCCGAUAGCCGCCCA